AUACGGAGGAUGCAAGCGUUAUCCGGAUUUAUUGGGUUUAAAGGGUGCGUAGGCGGUUUGCUAAGCGGGAGGUGAAAUGCCGGCGCUCAACGUCGGAAGUGCCUCCCGAACUGGUGGACUUGAAUGACUCUGCCGUGGGAGGAAUGUGUAGUGUAGCGGUGAAAUGCAUAGAUAUGACGAAGAACACCGAUUGCGUAGGCAGCUGACCAGACCGCAAAUGACGCUCAUGCACGAAAGUGCGGGGAUCGAACAGGAUUAGAUACCCUGGUAGUCCGCACAGUAAACGAUGAAUACUUGUUUUCGGCGAUAUAAUGUCGGAGGCAAAGCGAAAGCGAUAAGUAUUCCACCUGGGGAGUACGCCGGCAACGGUGAAACUCAAAUGAAUUGACGGGG
This 393-nucleotide ribosomal RNA is filed under the name uncultured bacterium. RNAcentral describes it as "partial 16S ribosomal RNA". It matches the Rfam family "Bacterial small subunit ribosomal RNA", at positions 523 to 918 of the family's 1533-position model. The record is from RNAcentral.